UCCCUGGUAGCUCAGCGGUUAAAGCAUCUGCCUGCAAUGCAGAUGACCCGGGUUCGAGCCCUGGUUUGGGAA
RNAcentral lists this transfer RNA (72 nucleotides) under Bos taurus (domestic cattle). It matches the Rfam family "tRNA". Rfam says of the family: Transfer RNA (tRNA) molecules are approximately 80 nucleotides in length. Their secondary structure includes four short double-helical elements and three loops (D, anti-codon, and T loops). The record is from Rfam by way of RNAcentral. Lineage: Eukaryota; Metazoa; Chordata; Mammalia; Artiodactyla; Bovidae. RNAcentral also lists the same sequence under 2 other names.